RNAcentral lists this unclassified non-coding RNA (336 nucleotides) under soil metagenome. RNAcentral's name for it is "partial contains 5.8S ribosomal RNA, internal transcribed spacer 2, and large subunit ribosomal RNA". The stretch from base 1 to 120 matches the Rfam family "5.8S ribosomal RNA", at positions 35 to 154 of the family's 154-position model. The record is from RNAcentral.
GAUGAAGAACGCAGUGAAAUGCGAUAAGUAGUGUGAAUUGCAGAAUUCAGUGAAUCAUCGAAUCUUUGAACGCACAUUGCGCCCCUUGGUAUUCCAUGGGGCAUGCCUGUUCGAGCGUCAUUUGUACCUUCAAGCUUUGCUUGGUGUUGGGUGUUUGUCUCGCCUUUGCGUGUAGACUCGCCUUAAAAUAAUUGGCAGCCGGCGUAUUGAUUUCGGAGCGCAGUACAUCUCGCGCUUUGCACUCAUAACGACAGCGUCCAAAAGUACAUUUUACACUCUUGACCUCGGAUCAGGUAGGGAUACCCGCUGAACUUAAGCAUAUCAAUAAGCGGUGGA